Molecule: ribosomal RNA, 250 nt
Filed under: uncultured bacterium
Lineage: Bacteria
Description: partial 16S ribosomal RNA
Rfam family: Bacterial small subunit ribosomal RNA
Source: RNAcentral
UACGUAGGGGGCGAGCGUUGUCCGGAUUUACUGGGCGUAAAGAGCGCGUAGGCGGCAGCUUAAGUUGGCUGUGAAAUCUCUGUACCCAACACAGAGGGGUCGGCCAAGACUGGGCAGCUAGAGUGCGGUAGGGGAAGGUGGAAUUCCGGGUGUAGUGGUGAAAUGCGUAGAGAUCCGGAGGAACACCGGUGGCGAAGGCGGCCUUCUGGGCCGUAACUGACGCUGAGGCGCGAAAGCGUGGGGAGCGAAC